Molecule: ribosomal RNA, 427 nt
Filed under: uncultured bacterium
Lineage: Bacteria
Description: bacterial SSU rRNA
Rfam family: Bacterial small subunit ribosomal RNA
Source: RNAcentral
AUUGAACGCUGGCGGCAUGCCUUACACAUGCAAGUCGAACGGCAGCACGGGGCAACCUGGUGGCGAGUGGCGAACGGGUGAGUAAUGCAUCGGAACGUGCCAUUGAGUGGGGGAUAACGUAGCGAAAGUUGCGCUAAUACCGCAUAUUCUGUGAGCAGGAAAGCAGGGGACCGCAAGGCCUUGCGCUCUUUGAGCGGCCGAUGUCAGAUUAGCUAGUUGGUGAGGUAACGGCUUACCAAGGCGACGAUCUGUAGCGGGUCUGAGAGGAUGAUCCGCCACACUGGAACUGAGACACGGUCCAGACUCCUACGGGAGGCAGCAGUGGGGAAUUUUGGACAAUGGGCGCAAGCCUGAUCCAGCCAUGCCGCGUGAGUGAAGAAGGCCUCGGUGUAAAGACGUCUUUCGGUCCGGGAACGGAAAGUACGAC